UACGUAGGGUGCGAGCGUUGUCCGGAAUUAUUGGGCGUAAGGGGCUCGUAGGCGGUCUGUUGCGUCGGGAGUGAAAACUCAGGGCUUAACCCUGAGCCUGCUUCCGAUACGGGCAGACUAGAGGUAUGCAGGGGAGAACGGAAUUCCUGGUGUAGCGGUGAAAUGCGCAGAUAUCAGGAGGAACACCGGUGGCGAAGGCGGUUCUCUGGGCAUUACCUGACGCUGAGGAGCGAAAGUGUGGGGAGCGAACAGG
This 253-nucleotide ribosomal RNA is filed under the name uncultured bacterium. Its description in RNAcentral is "partial 16S ribosomal RNA". It matches the Rfam family "Bacterial small subunit ribosomal RNA", at positions 524 to 776 of the family's 1533-position model. The record is from RNAcentral.